CACAGUCAGAUAUUUCACCCAGAAAAUCUGAGGGCCCUACAAAGCUAACCAGGGCUAAAACAUUUGCAGAGAAACAUUAUGAAUUCCCUGUGUUUCUUAUUAAACUCUUCUGGAUUAUGGAUCCUUUUUCAUCUCAUAUCAUGAGCCACAGAGGAAAUCUUGGGAGACAAUGAAGCUCUGAUCACCUCUCAUGAAAGUGAUAAUGAAAGGAUGAAUCUGGCACAAUGCCAUUAGUGCUGCUUUCACAGCAACUCAUUUCCACCCUGUUGCACCAGCUGAAGUAUCCCCAAACAGGAGUAAAGCAGCACUUGGAGCCACCAACUUUUCUCUUCUU
Neopelma chrysocephalum (saffron-crested tyrant-manakin) is the source of this 334-nucleotide long non-coding RNA. RefSeq lists it as uncharacterized. Lineage: Eukaryota; Metazoa; Chordata; Aves; Passeriformes; Pipridae. The transcript is spliced from 3 exons. The record is from RefSeq and is a predicted model, not a curated record.